Molecule: ribosomal RNA, 466 nt
Filed under: uncultured bacterium
Lineage: Bacteria
Description: partial 16S ribosomal RNA
Rfam family: Bacterial small subunit ribosomal RNA
Source: RNAcentral
GACGAACGCUGGCGGCGUGCUUAACACAUGCAAGUCGAACGGAAAGGCCCUGCUUUUGUGGGGUGCUCGAGUGGCGAACGGGUGAGUAACACGUGAGUAACCUGCCCUUGACUUUGGGAUAACUUCAGGAAACUGGGGCUAAUACCGGAUAGGAGCUCUUGCUGCAUGGUGGGGGUUGGAAAGUUUCGGCGGUUGGGGAUGGACUCGCGGCUUAUCAGCUUGUUGGUGGGGUAGUGGCUUACCAAGGCUUUGACGGGUAGCCGGCCUGAGAGGGUGACCGGCCACAUUGGGACUGAGAUACGGCCCAGACUCCUACGGGAGGCAGCAGUGGGGAAUAUUGCACAAUGGGCGGAAGCCUGAUGCAGCAACGCCGCGUGCGGGAUGACGGCCUUCGGGUUGUAAACCGCUUUCGCCUGUGACGAAGCGUGAGUGACGGUAAUGGGUAAAGAAGCACCGGCUAACUACG